Molecule: ribosomal RNA, 2309 nt
Filed under: human gut metagenome
Description: bacterial LSU rRNA
Rfam family: Bacterial large subunit ribosomal RNA
Source: RNAcentral
UAUUUUGUAGCGAGGUUAACCGAAUAGGGGAGCCGAAGGGAAACCGAGUCUUAACUGGGCGUCUAGUUGCAAGGUAUAGACCCGAAACCCGGUGAUCUAGCCAUGGGCAGGUUGAAGGUUGGGUAACACUAACUGGAGGACCGAACCGACUAAUGUUGAAAAAUUAGCGGAUGACUUGUGGCUGGGGGUGAAAGGCCAAUCAAACCGGGAGAUAGCUGGUUCUCCCCGAAAUCUAUUUAGGUAGAGCCUUGAGCGGACACCUUCGGGGGUAGAGCACUGUUUCGGCUAGGGGUCCAUCCCGGAUUACCAACCCGAUGCAAACUACGAAUACCGAAGAGUGAUACUCAGGAGACACACGGCGGGUGCUAACGUCCGUCGUGGAGAGGGAAACAACCCAGACCGCCAGCUAAGGUCCCAAAGUCUAUAUUAAGUGGGAAACGAAGUGGGAAGGCUUAGACAGCUAGGAUGUUGGCUUAGAAGCAGCCAUCAUUUAAAGAAAGCGUAAUAGCUCACUAGUCGAGUCGGCCUGCGCGGAAGAUGUAACGGGGCUCAAAUAUAGCACCGAAGCUGCGGCAUCAGUAGCAAUACUGUUGGGUAGGGGAGCGUUCUGUAAGCGGAUGAAGGUUAAUCGAGAGGUUAGCUGGACGUAUCAGAAGUGCGAAUGCUGACAUAAGUAACGAUAAAACGGGUGAAAAACCCGUUCGCCGGAAGACCAAGGGUUCCUGUCCAACGUUAAUCGGGGCAGGGUGAGUCGGCCCCUAAGGCGAGGCUGAAAAGCGUAGUCGAUGGGAAACGGGUUAAUAUUCCCGUACUUGGAUAAACUGCGAUGUGGGGACGGAGCAGGUUAGGUUAUCGCACUGUUGGAUAUGUGCGUUUAAGUUUGUAGGUGUGAAGUUUAGGCAAAUCCGGACUUCUUUAACACUGAGAGAUGAUGACGAGGCUCUACGGAGCUGAAGUAACCGAUACCACACUUCCAGGAAAAGCCACUAAGCUUCAGGUUUAUCUAAACCGUACUGAAAACCGACACAGGUGGUCAGGUAGAGAAUACUCAGGCGCUUGAGAGAACUCGGGUGAAGGAACUAGGCAAAAUAGCACCGUAACUUCGGGAGAAGGUGCGCCGGCGUAGAUUGUAAGGGCUUGCCCCUGAAGGUUGAACCGGUCGAAGAUACCAGCUGGCUGCAACUGUUUAUUAAAAACACAGCACUCUGCAAACACGAAAGUGGACGUAUAGGGUGUGAUGCCUGCCCGGUGCUGGAAGGUUAAUUGAUGGUGUAAUCGAAAGAGAAGCUCCUGAUCGAAGCCCCAGUAAACGGCGGCCGUAACUAUAACGGUCCUAAGGUAGCGAAAUUCCUUGUCGGGUAAGUUCCGACCUGCACGAAUGGCAUAAUGAUGGCCAGGCUGUCUCCACCCGAGACUCAGUGAAAUUGAAAUCGCCGUGAAGAUGCGGUGUACCCGCGGCUAGACGGAAAGACCCCGUGAACCUUUACUAUAGCUUGACACUGAACAUUGAAUUUUGAUGUGUAGGAUAGGUGGGAGACUUAGAAGUAGUCACGCCAGUGAUUAUGGAGUCGUCCUUGAAAUACCACCCUUUAACGUUUGAUGUUCUAACGAAGAUUACGAAACGUGGUCUCGGACAGUGUCUGGUGGGUAGUUUGACUGGGGCGGUCUCCUCCCAAAGAGUAACGGAGGAGCACGAAGGUUUGCUAAUGACGGUCGGACAUCGUCAGGUUAGUGCAAUGGUAUAAGCAAGCUUAACUGCGAGACAGACAAGUCGAGCAGGUACGAAAGUAGGUCAUAGUGAUCCGGUGGUUCUGAAUGGAAGGGCCAUCGCUCAACGGAUAAAAGGUACUCCGGGGAUAACAGGCUGAUACCGCCCAAGAGUUCAUAUCGACGGCGGUGUUUGGCACCUCGAUGUCGGCUCAUCACAUCCUGGGGCUGAAGUAGGUCCCAAGGGUAUGGCUGUUCGCCAUUUAAAGUGGUACGCGAGCUGGGUUUAGAACGUCGUGAGACAGUUCGGUCCCUAUCUGCCGUGGGCGUUGGAGAAUUGAAAGGGGCUGCUCCUAGUACGAGAGGACCGGAGUGGACGCACCACUGGUGUUCCGGUUGUGUCGCCAGACGCAUUGCCGGGUAGCUAAGUGCGGAAGAGAUAAGUGCUGAAAGCAUCUAAGCACGAAACUUGCCUUGAGAUGAGUUCUCCCUGUCUUUAAGACAGUAAGGGUUGUUUAAGACUAAGACGUAGAUAGGUCUGGUGUGUAAGCGGUGUGAGCCGUUGAGCUAACAGAUACUAAUUGCCCGAGAGGCUUAACUAU